GUUUGAGUAAAAUUUGGAUAAAUACAGCCUAAAUGACGUUGCUUUAUUCUUAGAUAACUUGAGAGAAACCAAUAAUGAAGGGGUUAAAAUGACUUGUGGAAUUAGGCAGAGAAAGAAGUGAAGAUUUGACACCCCUCGUCCCCCUCCUCCUUUUUCUAGGACUCAAUGUAAAAGAGUGAUACAGACAGCUGAGCCACUCACAAAUUUUUUGUACUAGAAACUGCACAGUUAAUCAAAGGCAGAAUAUAACUCCUAAAGUUAUUUGUUUUUGGUGCAGUAAACAACAUUAUUUAAGGUCUUGCAGAUAUUUUAUCCGAUAUAUCAAAUCAAAAGCAAAUAAGAAAUUAAAUUUGUUGAUUGAAAAUUUUGACAGAGAAAAUACAUGUGGAGAUAAAUCAAUUAAAGCCUUUCCUUGUAAACUGAUAAUCAGACAAAUAAGAGCAAUUUUAGCUAAAUCGAAAUUAGGAGACAGACAAGCAAUGCAGUGUAACACAGAAAGUUAUAAGAAUCAGAUAACUUCAAGAGAUAUGAUCAGUUUAGGGAAUGAGCAUGGAUAUGUGUGCCAACAGAUGUACACAGGCUGAUUCCAGAAUUAAGAACAGCACACAAAAAAAGAGAUCUAUGUUAGUUUGUUGUUUUAAUGAAUUGUUAGUCUGAACUGUUUUUUCAUUGUUUUUAUGUGUGUUGUAAGAAAGUAUUAGGUUAAUUAAUUAAAGUAAAAAUUUACAUCAAGUUUGCAAAUAUGGCAGAAUGAAAUACACUAAUGAAGCAGUUAGGAACAUGCAAUGUAUGUUAUAUUGGGUGUAUGCGAUUAUACAGUAACUCAUUUUACAGAAGGAAAAAAAAAAAACAAUGAAUAUUCCUUGUUACUUCUGAGGUUAAUUUACAGUCUUUGAUUUAAUUCAUGAGAGUGAGAUUUUAAUAUCAUGACUGAUAAUGGAUUACUAUAUUUUGCAAAUCCUGGACAUACAUAUGUUUUGACUACAUAGAAGACAAAAGUUUUGAUAGAAUAAAACCUAGAUUUACAAAUACAUUUGAUGUAGGAAACAAUAGAUGUUUUUUUGUAGUUUGUUUCAUGUGACAAAAAUGGUGCCAGUGACAAGAUGGCUGCUAUUGCUAAACUAUAGUGGAAAACAAUAUUUUGUUGUAACAUCUGACAUGUGAUUAGGUUAUACCUCCAGAUUAUUAAACAGUUUAAAAGGGGGUAUGAUUAAUAAAAAGUUUGGAAAUUUAAAAUGUUCAGAAAGAUUUUAAUAUAAAGGAAAUUUAAAGAUUAUACAUCACAUGGCAUAAAUGUAAUGACCACUAGAUGGUAGAUCUCAUGAGAAGAAAUGAGAAUGUUGUGUAGUCAAUAAAAUUCAAUGUUAAACAUUGUAAGCCAUUGUAUUGAUGCUGCACAUGUUUUUUUGUUUUAAUGUAGGUAAAGCGUGACAGAUCCUUGUGGCAAAAAUCAGGAAAGCAUUCCUUCAGACAACUGGACAUCGACUGUUGGAAAGAGACUUUUCAUCUGAUCUGCAAACUGUGAUGGAAGAUUCUACGGAGUUCAUUCGAUACAGAAGAUUAACAGAUUUACAAAGAAAUAAAAGAUUGACACUAACAUUCUUAUUAAUUCCUAAAUAUUAAUGGAAAAGAAAACAGACAAUGAAAAGUUAUAUAACAGUUUAUGAGUGUAUUAAAGGACCACUCUAGGCACCCAGACCACUUCAGCUUAAUGAAGUGGUCUGGGUGUCAGGUCCAGCUAGGGUUAACCCUUUUUUAAAUAAACAUAGCAGUUUCAGAGAAACUGCUAUGUUUAUAAAUGGGUUAAUCCAGCCUCCAAAUCCUCUAGUGGCUGUCACAUUGACAGCCGCUAGAGGCGUUUGCGUGCUUCUCACUGUGAAAAUCACGGUGAGAAGACGCCAGCGUCCAUAGGAAAGCAUUGUGAAUGCUUUCCUAUGAGACCGGCUGAAUGCGCGCACAGCUGCGGCCGCGCGUGCGCAUUCAGCCGAAGGGGAGGAGAGAAGGAGGAGAGCUCCCGACCCGGCGCUGGAAAAAAGGUAAGUUUAACCCCUUUCCUUGCCAUCCAGCCCGGCGGGAGGGGGUGCCUGAGGGUGGGGGCACCCUCAGGGCACUAUAGUGCCAGGAAAACUAGUAUGUUUUCCUGGCACUAUAGUGGUCCUUUAAUAUCAAAAGAGAGUACUUCUAAAUGUGUAACACAUACAGUAAAAUUAUGAAGAGAACUAUUACAUUAUUACCUAUACAUAGGAUGAGAAGUAUCUGAAGUAGAUAAAAUAUUAAGUUGAUAAAAUAAGGAUCAUGUAUACUUAAUUCUACAAAGAUUGAGUUCAAUAGUAUUUCAUAGAUUCAUUAGAAUAAGUAAUUUGUUUAUAUCGAGGUGGAGUAAAACAAACAAUGGUAACAAAAGGAAGAAAACUAAGGAAGGAUAAUUUAUAUUGAUUAAUAUUAAGUAAUUGUAUACAUUAAGAAUGCCUUAGAUAUAAGAGUUCAGAGAUCCAAGAGGAAUUGAAUUGAAGGAGUAUAGUACACAAUUUUAUUUGACCUAAGUCUAUAAAAGGUAUGGACUAGGGAGAAUAGGUUUCUGGAUAUGAUGGUAUCCAAUGAAUUGAAUACGUUGUUAAGUUGUUUUAUGAUUUCCCUGAGUUUGUUAGACACAGACUAGGAAUAAGAGUUUCUGGGCAGUAUGACCCCAAGUUUUGUUUAUUUUAUUUUAGUCAGUUGAAGUGUACUAAGGAAUACGGAUUCGUCAGAACAUUAGGACAAUCCUGCUUUUAAGAUGUAUUACAUUAAUAAGCCAUCACAAUGCUAAUGAAGAGAGUGAUGCUAAUGAAUUUAAAGUAUUCUUUCCAAGUUCUUUUAAAGUAAACCAUUCUCAGAUUGAAUGAAAAGUUUGUUACUACAAGGUGGAAUUUUAGCCCAAAUCAUAAUUAUGUAAACAAAAACAAAUCUAUGAUAGAAAGAUUUCUGGGUGGAGAAUUUCUAGGACAAUAAGUAUUAUCAACACCAUGAACAUUAUUUGAAGAAUCAUUGUAGAACUGCAUGGUUGAUAACACAUCCUUUGAAUGAGUCUUAUAAGUAGUGUUGAUAUAUUUCAGGUAGUUAGAGCCUACUGAAUAUACAAAUUAAAUACUAUGAUUGUAAAAUACUGAUACAAUCAUCACUAGGUGGUAUUAAUGGUAUAGGAAGGUAAUUCAUGAAUACAAAUGACCUAAAGAUUUUAAGGUUGCUAGAAACCAUAUGAUUCAUGGAAAUAUAAUUGGACAGGAUAUUAUAGUAAUACAUGUAUUAGUACUUAAGUAAUAUCAGGUAUUGAGAAUUAAAAUACUGUGUUAUAUGUGUCUGUAGGAAUAUGAUAGUGAAACACAGUCAUUAUUAUUUAGAAAGUUGUCAUCUUGAUUUUGUUAUCUACAAAGAUAUGACUGUACCAGAGCAGGUAGAUCUUUCUGAUUGCUUUAUUGUUUAUUGGAUCAACAUUUGUAAAUAUUUUAUGCAUUUAUGAUUGUUAUAUGUAUAUAUUAUGUUCAAGUAGUUAAGAUGUAACAUGGAUAUAGCUGAAACAGAGGGAGUUUGAAGUAAAGUAAGCAGUAUGAGGGAUAGAAACUUGACCUUCUAAGAACUAAUAGAAAGUUGUGACUACAUCUUGUUCUAUGCUCAUUGACUGUGAUACAAGUGAUGUAUGAAUGGACAGGUUAGUGACAUUGUGUUAUGGUUUUAAAACAAACCACAAACAGAGGGAAUGUAGAAUAUUGCAUAUUCUAUGUUUCUAUUGAUUAUAUAUGGAUGUGUGGAUUGACAUAAGUAACAGAUGGUAUAAGUCACAAGGCUUUCUUUGUCCGAGAGCUCUGGAAUGUGGAUGUGGGGGUUUUGUCCUUAUAUGGCUAGAGUUAAAUGCUGACGUUAGUAUUAGCACAUCUUUAUAGUAACAGAGGGACACGAGGUCUCUCUCGAUCUUGGCUCUGGGCUCUCUCUGGCUCUCUCUCGAUGUAAAGAUGUAAGAAUGUAAAGAAGUCCAGCAAUUACCAUCUGCUGUUGAAACAUUCAUUAUCCUGUAACAUCCUUUGUUGUUUUAUUAUGUAUCUGUAACUAAGAAUAAACCUGAAGAAACCGUAAGUCAGAUUGCGUAUUAGUACUUUUCAAUAAUAUAGACAUAUAUUAUUGUGGCGAGCAUUUGGC
RNAcentral lists this long non-coding RNA (4170 nucleotides) under Pelobates cultripes (western spadefoot toad). The record is from RNAcentral. Lineage: Eukaryota; Metazoa; Chordata; Amphibia; Anura; Pelobatidae.